CUACGGGGGGCUCCAGUAGGGAAUAUUGCACAAUGGACGAAAGUCUGAUGCAGCAACGCCGCGUGUGCGAAGAAGGCCUUCGGGUUGUAAAGCACUUUUGGCGGGGAAGAGGAAGGACAGUACCCGCAGAAUAAGCUUCGGCUAACUACGUGCCAGCAGCCGCGGUAACACGUAGGAAGCGAGCGUUAUCCGGAUUUACUGGGCGUAAAGCGCGUGCAGGCGGUUGGGUAAGUUGGAUGUGAAAGCUCCUGGCUUAACUGGGAGAGGUCGUUCAAGACUGCUCGACUGGAGUGCGAAAGAGGGAGGUAGAAUUCCGAGUGUAGUGGUGAAAUGCGUAGAUAUUCGGAGGAAUACCAGAGGCGAAGGCGGCCUCCUGGUUCGCAACUGACGCUGAGACGCGAAGGCUAGGGUAGCAAACGGGAUUAGAUACCCCAGUAGUC
Molecule: ribosomal RNA, 440 nt
Filed under: uncultured bacterium
Lineage: Bacteria
Description: partial 16S ribosomal RNA
Rfam family: Bacterial small subunit ribosomal RNA
Source: RNAcentral